UACAGAGGUCCCGAGCGUUGUUCGGAUUCACUGGGCGUAAAGGGUGCGUAGGUGGUGAGGUAAGUCGGAUGUGAAAUCUCCGAGCUCAACUCGGAAAUGGCAUUGGAAACUACCUUGCUCGAGGGUUGGAGGGGGGACUGGAAUACUUGGUGUAGCAGUGAAAUGCGUAGAUAUCAAGUGGAACACCAGUGGCGAAGGCGGGUCUCUGGGCCGUAACUGACGCUGAGGAGCGAAAGCGUGGGGAGCGAACAGG
This 253-nucleotide ribosomal RNA is filed under the name uncultured bacterium. RNAcentral's name for it is "partial 16S ribosomal RNA". It matches the Rfam family "Bacterial small subunit ribosomal RNA", at positions 524 to 776 of the family's 1533-position model. The record is from RNAcentral.